GAAUCAAUGAUGAAAACAAAUCUCUGAAGAUGGUAUACAACUCAUACAAAUGACAAUCAGAGGUCC
This is a small nucleolar RNA of Phodopus roborovskii (desert hamster), 66 nucleotides long. RefSeq annotates it as small nucleolar RNA SNORD109A. The transcript has a single exon. NCBI's taxonomy places the organism in Eukaryota, Metazoa, Chordata, Mammalia, Rodentia, Cricetidae. The record is from RefSeq and is a predicted model, not a curated record.